RNAcentral lists this non-coding RNA (21 nucleotides) under Caenorhabditis elegans. The record is from RNAcentral. Lineage: Eukaryota; Metazoa; Nematoda; Chromadorea; Rhabditida; Rhabditidae.
UGUUUUCUUUACAAAAAUAUU